UACGGAAGGUCCGGGCGUUAUCCGGAUUUAUUGGGUUUGAAGGGAGCGUAGGCCGCUUUGUAAGCGUGUUGUGAAAUUUGCCGGCUCAACCGGUAACUUGCAGCGCGAACUGCAGAGCUUGAGUGUGCGCAACGUUGGCGGAAUUCGUCGUGUAGCGGUGAGAUGCUUAGAUAUGACGAAGAACUCCGAUUGCGAAGGCAGCUGACGGGAGCACUACUGACGCUGAAGCUCGAAAGUGCGGGUAUCGAACAGGAUUAGAUACCCUGGUAGUCCGCACGGUAAACGAUGGAUGCCCGCUGUUUGCGAUAUACAGUAAGCGGCCAAGCGAAAGCGUUAAGUAUUCCACCUGGGGAGUACGCCGGCAACGGUGAA
RNAcentral lists this ribosomal RNA (372 nucleotides) under uncultured bacterium. RNAcentral's name for it is "bacterial SSU rRNA". It matches the Rfam family "Bacterial small subunit ribosomal RNA", at positions 524 to 898 of the family's 1533-position model. The record is from RNAcentral.